This 496-nucleotide ribosomal RNA is filed under the name uncultured bacterium. RNAcentral describes it as "partial 16S ribosomal RNA". It matches the Rfam family "Bacterial small subunit ribosomal RNA", at positions 28 to 506 of the family's 1533-position model. The record is from RNAcentral.
GAUGAACGCUGGCGGCGUGCCUAAUACAUGCAAGUCGAGCGAACGGACGAGAAGCUUGCUUUUCUGAUGUUAGCGGCGGACGGGUGAGUAACACGUGGAUAACCUACCUAUAAGACUGGGAUAACUUCGGGAAACCGGAGCUAAUACCGGAUAAUAUUUUGAACCGCAUGGUUCAAAAGUGAAAGACGGUCUUGCUGUCACUUAUAGAUGGAUCCGCGCUGCAUUAGCUAGUUGGUAAGGUAACGGCUUACCAAGGCAACGAUGCAUAGCCGACCUGAGAGGGGGAUCGGCAACACUGGAACUGAGACACGGUCCAGACUCCAACGGGAGGCAGCAGUAGGGAAUCUUCCGCAAUGGGCGAAAGCCUGACGGAGCAACGCCGCGUGAGUGAUGAAGGUCUUCGGAUCGUAAAACUCUGUUAUUAGGGAAGAACAUAUGUGUAAGUAACUGUGCACAUCUGGACGGUACCUAAUCAGAAAGCAACGGCUAACUACGU